AGAGUUUGAUCCUGGCUCAGAAUGAACGUUGGCGGCGUGGAUUAGGCAUGCAAGUCGCGCGAUAAGUCCCCGCAAGGGGAUGGAAAGCGGCGAAAGGGACAGUAAUGCGUAGAUACCUACCCUCGGGCUCGGGAUAGCUGCGGGAAACUGCAAUUAAUACCGAAUAACGUCUCCGGACCAAAGGUGUGAUUCCGCCUGAGGAUGGGUCUGCGUCCUAUUAGCUAGUUGGUGUGGUAACGGCGCACCAAGGCAAAGAUGGGUAGCAGGUGUGAGAGCACGACCUGCGUCACUGGGACUGAGACACUGCCCAGACACCUACGGGUGGCUGCAGUCGAGGAUCUUCGGCAAUGGGCGCAAGCCUGACCGAGCGACGCCGCGUGCGGGAUGAAGGCCUUCGGGUUGUAAACCGCUGUCAGAGAGGCGGAAGUAUAGGGGGGUUCUCCCUUCUAUUGACCUAAUCUCAGAGA
This 467-nucleotide ribosomal RNA is filed under the name uncultured Pirellula sp. Its description in RNAcentral is "bacterial SSU rRNA". It matches the Rfam family "Bacterial small subunit ribosomal RNA", at positions 8 to 487 of the family's 1533-position model. The record is from RNAcentral. Lineage: Bacteria; Pseudomonadati; Planctomycetota; Planctomycetia; Pirellulales; Pirellulaceae.